AUGGACAUGAGGGCCCAGGCUCAGUUUCUUGGGUUCUUGUUGCUGUGGUUUCCAGGUGCCAGAUGCGACAUCCAGAUGACCCAGUCUCCAUCCUCCAUGUCUGCAUCUCUGGGAGACAGAGUCACUAUUACUUGCCGGGCAUGGCAGGACAUUCGGAAUAAUUUAAGCUGGUACCAGCAGAAACGAGGAAAAUCUCCUAAGCUCAUGAUUUAUGGUGCAACCAACUUGGAAGAUGGGGUCCCAUCAAGAUUCAGUGGCAGUAGGUCUGGGUCAGAUUAUUCUCUCACCAUCAGCAGCCUGGAGUCUGAAGAUAUGGCAAUCUAUCACUGUCUGCAGAGCUAUUCUUCUAUUCUUAGGGACCUGCAACAACAGUUAAAUUCAAAAGACGAUUGGAGAAAGAAUAUUGGAAAUCGUGGAAGAGGUGGUGUAAAGGCUUUGAGAGAUGAAUACUGUUAG
This is a non-coding RNA of Rattus rattus (black rat), 456 nucleotides long. Lineage: Eukaryota; Metazoa; Chordata; Mammalia; Rodentia; Muridae. The record is from the annotation of a RefSeq genome assembly.